GGUGGCCUAAUGGUUAGAGCGUCCGCAUCGGAUGCGGAAGGUCGUAGGUUUCAUCCCCGGUCGAGUCAUACCAAAGACU
This is a non-coding RNA of Potamilus streckersoni, 79 nucleotides long. The record is from the annotation of a GenBank genome assembly. NCBI's taxonomy places the organism in Eukaryota, Metazoa, Mollusca, Bivalvia, Unionida, Unionidae.